This 46-nucleotide long non-coding RNA is filed under the name Amphimedon queenslandica. RNAcentral's name for it is "uncharacterized LOC109580317". The record is from RNAcentral. Lineage: Eukaryota; Metazoa; Porifera; Demospongiae; Haplosclerida; Niphatidae.
AGCCAAGAUUGAAAUACAUUAGCAAUGCACAGUGCAUUGCUAAUGU